Molecule: ribosomal RNA, 253 nt
Filed under: uncultured bacterium
Lineage: Bacteria
Description: partial 16S ribosomal RNA
Rfam family: Bacterial small subunit ribosomal RNA
Source: RNAcentral
UACGUAGGGUGCGAGCGUUGUCCGGAAUUAUUGGGCGUAAAGGGCUCGUAGGCGGUUUGUCGCGUCGGGAGUGAAAACCCAGGGCUUAACCCUGGGCUGGCUUUCGAUACGGGCAGACUAGAGGUAUGCAGGGGAGAACGGAAUUCCUGGUGUAGCGGUGAAAUGCGCAGAUAUUAGGAGGAACACCGGUGGCGAAGGCGGUUCUCUGGGCAUUACCUGACGCUGAGGAGCGAAAGCGUGGGGAGCGAACAGG